Molecule: ribosomal RNA, 424 nt
Filed under: uncultured bacterium
Lineage: Bacteria
Description: bacterial SSU rRNA
Rfam family: Bacterial small subunit ribosomal RNA
Source: RNAcentral
GUGGGGGAUAUUGCACAAUGGGGGGAACCCUGAUGCAGCGACGCCGCGUGGGGGAUGAAGGCCUUCGGGUUGUAAACUCUUUUCGCUUAUGAACAAGCCGCUCUUUUUGGGGGUGGUGAGUGUAGUGGGUAAAGAAGCGCCGGCUAACUACGUGCCAGCAGCCGCGGUAAUACGUAGGGCGCGAGCGUUGUCCGGAAUUAUUGGGCGUAAAGGGCUCGUAGGUGGCUGGUUGCGUCUGUCGUGAAAGCUCAUGGCUUAACUGUGGGUUUGCGGUGGGUACGGGCUGGCUUGAGUGCAGUAGGGGAGAUUGGAAUUCCUGGUGUAGCGGUGGAAUGCGCAGAUAUCAGGAGGAAUACCGGUGGCGAAGGCGGGUCUCUGGGCUGUUACUGACGCUGAGGAGCGAAAGCGUGGGGAGCGAACAGGA